Molecule: non-coding RNA, 72 nt
Organism: Trichomonas vaginalis G3
Lineage: Eukaryota; Parabasalia; Trichomonadida; Trichomonadidae
Source: Rfam
UCGGUCAUAGUGUAAUGGUUAUCAUGUAAGAUUGUCGUUCUUUUGAUCCGGGUUCGAUUCCCGGUGACCGAG